AGAGUUUGAUCCUGGCUCAGAACGAACGCUGGCGGCGUGGCUGAGGCAUGCAAGUCGAACGAGAAAGUCCCGCAAGGGGCGAGUAAAGUGGCGAAAGGGUGCGUAAUACAUAGACAACCUACCCCCGAGAGCGGGAAAACACCGGGAAACUGGUACUAAUACCGCGGAACGUUACCGGUCGCAUGACUGGUAUCUGAAGGUGGGGACCCUUAGGGGCCCAUCGCUCGAGGAGGGGUCUAUGUCCCAUUAGCUAGUUGGCGGGGUAAUGGCCCACCAAGGCGGUGAUGGGUACGGGGCUCGAGAGGGUGUACCCGCACACUGGGACUGAGACACUGCCCAGACUCCUACGGGAGGCUGCAGUUCCGAAUAGUUCGCAAUGGCCGCAAGGCUGACGACGCGACGCCGCGUGGAGGAUGAAGGCCCUCGGGUUGUAAACUCCUGUCGACUGGUAAGAAAUUCUGCAAGUUAACAGCAUGCAGAUAUGACGUAACCGGUGAGAAGUCGAU
RNAcentral lists this ribosomal RNA (506 nucleotides) under uncultured Isosphaera sp. RNAcentral describes it as "bacterial SSU rRNA". It matches the Rfam family "Bacterial small subunit ribosomal RNA", at positions 8 to 495 of the family's 1533-position model. Lineage: Bacteria; Pseudomonadati; Planctomycetota; Planctomycetia; Isosphaerales; Isosphaeraceae. The record is from RNAcentral.